CGUACACUCCUGCGGGAGGCAGCAGUGGGGAAUAUUGCACAAUGGGCGCAAGCCUGAUGCAGCGACGCCGCGUGGGGGAUGAAGGCCUUCGGGUUGUAAACUCCUUUCGCUAGGGACGAAGCUUUUUUGUGACGGUACCUAGAUAAGAAGCACCGGCUAACUACGUGCCAGCAGCCGCGGUAAUACGUAGGGUGCGAGCGUUGUCCGGAAUUACUGGGCGUAAAGGGCUCGUAGGUGGUUUGUCGCGUCGUCUGUGAAAUUCUGGGGCUUAACUCCGGGCGUGCAGGCGAUACGGGCAUAACUUGAGUGCUGUAGGGGUAACUGGAAUUCCUGGUGUAGCGGUGAAAUGCGCAGAUAUCAGGAGGAACACCGAUGGCGAAGGCAGGUUACUGGGCAGUUACUGACGCUGAGGAGCGAAAGCAUGGGUAGCGAACAGGAUUAGAUACCCUAGUAGUCCCAUGA
Molecule: ribosomal RNA, 462 nt
Filed under: uncultured organism
Description: partial 16S ribosomal RNA
Rfam family: Bacterial small subunit ribosomal RNA
Source: RNAcentral